GGUAAGCAGAACUGGCGAUGAGGGAUGAACCUAACGCUCGGUUAAGGUGCUAAACUGCUCGCUCAUCAGAUACCACAAAGGGUGUUGGUCGAUCUUAACAGCAGGACGGUGGUCAUGGAAGUCGAAAUCCGCUAAGGAGUGUGUAACAACUCACCUGCCGAAUCGACUAGCCCCGAAAAUGGAUAGCGCUGAAGCGAGUGACCGAUACCGGGCCAUUGUUGCAAGAUAAUUGGCAACAAUGAGUAGGAGGGCGUGGGGGUUGUGAAGAAGCUUGGACGUGAGUCUGAGUGAAACAGCUUCCAGUGCAGAUCUUGGUGGUAGUAGCAAGUAUUCAAUAAGAGAACAUUGAAGGCCGAAGUGGGGAAGGGUUCCAUGUGAACAGCACUUGGACAUGGGUUAGCCGAUCCUGAGAGACAGGUUAAAUUCCAUCGGAUUGGAGCUUUGGCUCUGUUUCUCGAAAGGGAAGCUGGUUAGUAUUCCAGCGCCGAGACGUGGAUAAUAUGUGGCAACACAAGUGAACUCGGACACGCCAUAGGGGACCCCAGGAAGCGUUGUCUUUUCUUUUUAACAGUUCGACUUACCCUGGAAUCAGAUCAUCUGGAGAUAGGGUUUUCGAACUGGAAUAGCACCUUGUCUAACAGGGUGUCUGGAGUGUUCUCGCUGGCCCUUGAAAAUCCGAGGGAUAGAUUUAUUCGCACUCUCGAUCGUACCCAUAACCGCAUCAGGUCUCCAAGGUUAGAAGCCUCUGGUCCGUAGGACAAAGUAGAUAAGGGAAGUCGGCAAAAUAGGUCCGUAACUUCGGGAAAAGGACUGGCUCUGAGGUUUGGUAUGUGGAACCUGGAUUAAUCGUUGGAGUCGAGCAGAGACUACUUGUUGCUCACGUGACUUGUGGACUCCUUGCUUGAUACCUUCAAUUGAUCCAGGCUGCUUCGGCGCUCUGCAUGCACUUAACAAACAGCUCAGAACUGGAGCGGACAAGGGGAAUCCGACUGUUAAUCAAAACAAAG
Molecule: non-coding RNA, 1007 nt
Filed under: Perkinsus marinus ATCC 50983
Lineage: Eukaryota; Perkinsozoa; Perkinsida; Perkinsidae
Description: Eukaryotic large subunit ribosomal RNA
Rfam family: Eukaryotic large subunit ribosomal RNA
Source: Rfam by way of RNAcentral